GACGAACGCUGGCGGCGUGCUUAACACAUGCAAGUCGAACGGAAAGGCCCCUUUGGGGGUUCUCGAGUGGCGGACGGGUGAGUAACACGUGAGUAACCUGCCCUUGACUUUGGGAUAACUUCAGGAAACUGGGGCCAAUACCGGAUCGGGAUCCUUGCUGCAUGGUGGGGGUUGGAAAGCUUCGGCGGGUUUGGCUGGAAUCGCGGCGUAUCUGCUUGUUGGGGGGGUAGUGGCUUACCAAGGCUUUGACGGGUAGCCGGCCUGAGUAGGCGACCGGCCACAUUGGGACUGAGAGACGGCCCAGACUCCUACGGGAGGCAGCAGUGGGGAAGAUUGCACAAUGGGCGGAAGCCGGAUGCAGCAACGCCGCGUGCGGGAUGACGGCCUUCGGGUUGUAAACCGCUUUCAGCAGGGGCGAAGCUUGUGGUGACGGUACCUGCAGAAGAAGCACCGGCUAACUACGUG
Molecule: ribosomal RNA, 465 nt
Filed under: uncultured bacterium
Lineage: Bacteria
Description: partial 16S ribosomal RNA
Rfam family: Bacterial small subunit ribosomal RNA
Source: RNAcentral